RNAcentral lists this ribosomal RNA (465 nucleotides) under uncultured bacterium. Its description in RNAcentral is "partial 16S ribosomal RNA". It matches the Rfam family "Bacterial small subunit ribosomal RNA", at positions 28 to 507 of the family's 1533-position model. The record is from RNAcentral.
GAUGAACGCUGGCGGCGUGCUUAACACAUGCAAGUCGAACGGAAAGGCUCCUGCUUGCAGGGGUACUCGAGUGGCGAACGGGUGAGUAACACGUGGGUGAUCUGCCCUGCACUUCGGGAUAAGCCUGGGAAACUGGGUCUAAUACCGGAUAGGACGAUGGUUUGGAUGCCAUUGUGGAAAGUUUUUCGGUGUGGGGUGAGCUCGCGGCCUAUCAGCUUGUUGGUGGGGUAAUGGCCUACCAAGGCGUCGACGGGUAGCCGGCCUGAGAGGGUGUACGGCCACAUUGGGACUGAGAUACGGCCCAGACUCCUACGGGAGGCAGCAGUGGGGAAUAUUGCACAAUGGGCGCAAGCCUGAUGCAGCGACGCCGCGUGGGGGAUGACGGCCUUCGGGUUGUAAACUCCUUUCGCUAGGGACGAAGCGCAAGUGACGGUACCUGGAGAAGAAGCACCGGCUAACUACGUG